This 742-nucleotide ribosomal RNA is filed under the name uncultured Bacteroidota bacterium. Its description in RNAcentral is "bacterial SSU rRNA". It matches the Rfam family "Bacterial small subunit ribosomal RNA", at positions 60 to 803 of the family's 1533-position model. Lineage: Bacteria; Pseudomonadati; Bacteroidota. The record is from RNAcentral.
AGUCGAGGGGUAUGUGGCUUCGGCCACAGAGACCGGCGCACGGGUGCGUAACGCGUAUGCAAUCUGCCUUACACUAAGGGAUAGCCCAGAGAAAUUUGGAUUAAUACCUUAUAGUAUAUUGGAGGGACAUCCCUUUAUUAUUAAAGAUUUAUCGGUGUAAGAUGAGCAUGCGUCCCAUUAGCUAGUUGGUAUGGUAACGGCAUACCAAGGCUAUGAUGGGUAGGGGUCCUGAGAGGGAGAUCCCCCACACUGGUACUGAGACACGGACCGGACUCCUACGGGAGGCAGCAGUGAGGAAUAUUGGACAAUGGGCGCAAGCCUGAUCCAGCCAUGCCGCGUGCAGGAUGAAGCAUCUAUGGUGUGUAAACUGCUUUUGUACGGGAAGAAACACCUCUACGUGUAGAGGCUUGACGGUACCGUAAGAAUAAGGAUCGGCUAACUCCGUGCCAGCAGCCGCGGUAAUACGGAGGAUCCAAGCGUUAUCCGGAAUCAUUGGGUUUAAAGGGUCCGUAGGCGGCUUUAUAAGUCAGUGGUGAAAUCCGGCAGCUCAACUGUCGAACUGCCAUUGAUACUGUAGGGCUUGAAUUAUUGUGAAGUAACUAGAAUAUGUAGUGUAGCGGUGAAAUGCUUAGAUAUUACAUGGAAUACCAAUUGCGAAGGCAGGUUACUAACAUUACAUUGACGCUGAUGGACGAAAGCGUGGGGAGCGAACAGGAUUAGAUACCCUGGUAGUCCACGCCGU